This 241-nucleotide ribosomal RNA is filed under the name Cryptosporidium sp. genotype 8. RNAcentral's name for it is "partial small subunit ribosomal RNA". The stretch from base 70 to 241 matches the Rfam family "Eukaryotic small subunit ribosomal RNA", at positions 739 to 914 of the family's 1831-position model. The record is from RNAcentral. Lineage: Eukaryota; Apicomplexa; Conoidasida; Eucoccidiorida; Cryptosporidiidae.
GUUGGAUUUCUGUUGUAUAAUUUUAUAAUAUUACCAAGGUAAUUAUUAUAUUAUCAACAUCCUUCCUAUUAUAUUCUAAAUAUAUAGGAAAUUUUACUUUGAGAAAAUUAGAGUGCUUAAAGCAGGCAACUGCCUUGAAUACUCCRGCAUGGAAUAAUAAGUAAGGACUUUUGUCUUUCUUAUUGGUUCUAGGACAAAAGUAAUGGUUAAUAGGGACAGUUGGGGCCAUUCGUAUUUAACA